AAAAUUAAGUUUCUAAAUUUUUAUUUUUUUCGUCAAAAAUACUGAUACUUAAUAUUUAUAAAAAAAAAAUUUAUUUACAGCGAAGUGCGGAUUCUACACUAAUAAUAAUAAUUUGAUGGAACUAAAACAAUAUCCGUGAGAGUUCUUUUUUUGGGUAAACUUCAAAUAUCACCCCUGUGGUUUCGCACUUUUUCACUUUAGUGUCCUGUGGUUUAAAUUGUAUCAAAAUAGUAUUCCAUGGUUUUAUUUUUAUCUUUUCAUUAGCUUCCCCGUUAAUAUUUCGUUAAAUUAUAUACAAAAAACUUCAAAUACCCCACCUAAGUUUGUCGAAUAUUCAUUUUAGUACCCUUUAGUUUUAACAUUGUCACUGAUUUAACGAAAAAAAUUUGUGGAAUGUAUAGUAAAAAAAUAAAAAUGAAACCACAGGGCACUAAAUUGAUACAUUUUAAACCAUAGAGUAUUAAAGUGAGAAAAUAUGAAACUAUAGCGAUGGUAUUUGAAUUUUUUUUUCUUUGAAUUUUGCCAGAUAGCGAUCAUUGUGCACAAAGUGCGGUGCCAGAAACAAAGAUUUGCAAGUUGUAACAUGAUGACAAUAAAAUUAAAUGAAAAGAGUGACCAUGUGAAAAUUAAAAUGCUUUGGGUCCACUAUGUAUAUUUAUGUACUAAUUAAAAAGCAUUGACACACAUACCCCACAAUGACUUCCCCAAUAAUGUUCACUAGUGUAGCAAUCCCUGCGAAACAGACGGAUAGAUAAUUGAAGAAAAAAUACAAAACGACGAUAAAAAAAAAGAAAAUGGUAAUAGAAAAAGCGACGGUGAGGGAUGAGAUUCAUCUUGCCGAUAAAGAAUGGUAACAGGCGAAGAAACCGGAAGGGUAGUAGUUCGGCCCAAUGCAGAGGUAUGACUCUGUUCAGUUCAAGCAAAAAAAGAAAAAAAUCCGGUUCGAUUCGAGUAAAGAAAGAGAAAAAUAUAUGGAGAAGUUAAGUCGGUUCGGAAGAGCCUACACUCAAUAAUGAUUUGUCUGGUUUACGUAAAGAAAGAAAAAAAUAUGUGAAAUACUUGAGCCAAUCCGAGGUGAAUUAAGAUACACCCAACAAUGAAAAAAAUAUUACCACAUGACAACUAUAGGAAGAAUAAUGUAUAGGUAUAGACUUUAGCUGAUUCGGAAAGCCUACACUCAACAAUGAUUUGUUCGAUUAAAGCAAAAAAUAAAGGACUAGUUCUGCUCAAGCCAAAAAAGAGAAAACUAUAUAAAAAAUUUGAGCCGAUUCGGAAUGUAGCUCAUACUCAAUAAUAAAAAAAAGUUGACAUGUGACAAAUUUAAAAAGAAUAAUGUACAGAAUAUAGAGGUAUAGAUGUGUUGCACAUGUUAUAGUUAAGCCUUAUAUUCUUUACAUAUGAAUUUCAAUGCAUCAAUAAUAUAGUAGAACACACUUUAUGCAAAGGUCCAAAGUAUUUUUCUUAAUUAAAAAUUUUUAUAUUAUAUAUGUCAAUAUAUUAAUAGCCUACACGAACAGCAUCUUAAAAGACAAAAUAGUUCGCAUGAAGGGAACAAAAUAAAUAUAUAGGGGGACCAGAACCUUCCAUUGGUGACAUUUCAUCUACAUGUAUAUGUAAGCUUUUAGAGGCACGGUGACUUCAAUGCUAUCAAGUUAUUUUCAAUGUUAAAAAUUUUUUCAAAUCGAUGAUAGCUAGAUACUGUUAGAUUUGAUAUAAAGAUUUAGAAGUAUUUAACAAAUACAGUUUGUAAUUUUUUGGUAUUAUUUUUACAGUGAUAAAAAAUAUUCAAAAUCAAUGGUUGAAAAAAAAAAAAAAAAUCUUACAAGAAGAGAUAAUAUGACGCUACAAUUUUAGAUAAAAAAUAUUCAUCUUAUUCAAACAUGAAGCCUACCUCUGUAAGAGGUGCGUAGGAAAUAGAGUAUCCAUCGCAAUUUGUACGACAAACAUUGUAGAGUGCGGAAUCAGUUAAAUUAUCUUUCAAUACAGGCAUAAGCGAAAAUUCAAAUUACUGUAGUUGGCUAAUUAAAUAUUGCUCAACUCUGGAAUAAGGUUUGUUAGAUCCACAUAAGACGAGCCUCCUGGCUCCAUUGCCUUCUUCGCGGUCUCUCCUAGCUUUGUCACGCGCCUCCGCAUCUCCACCGCCUUCUCUCCUCUGCCUAUCGCCUUCCUUAUUGCAUUCUCAGUUUGCGCACUCUCUAUUACAGGCAUUUCUGCGGCAAAAUAGGUGAACUUCAUUGACCCGAUCGAUACGCCAAUCCCGAGCACAUCGACGAUGAGCCUCUCAUUGAAAAAUUACUCGGUGUAGAGCGGCCAUGUGACCAUCAGCACGCCAGCGCAAAUCCCUUCCAGACACGAGUUCCAGCCGCAGUGCGUGACGAACCCCCCGACCGAUGCGUGACUCAGUAUCAGUGUCCGUGGAGCCCAGCCGUUCAGUACCAGGCCCCUGUCCUUUACUCGUUCCUUCAAUUCAUGUGGCAGCCAUUUUGCGUCGUAGUCAUCAUCAAGAGUUCAUGACAACCCAAAUAAAAGGACAGCCGGACGCUUUGAGGCCGAAUGCAAGCUGGGCCAUUUGGGCCGACUGAAGUCGGCCCAUGCUCCCGAAGCUCACAUCGAGAACCGAAUCGGGCCGGUUUCGAUUGAGCCAUUCUGAUAUAUAAGAACUGGACCUAGUUGGUUCGGGCGCUUGUGGUUCUCAUUCUCGUUCUCGUUCUCGUUCUCGUUCUCGUUCUUGUGCUUCUUCAUCUUGCCUUUCUUUCGGACGGACUCCGUCUCGAUUGAAGAGAACGACGGGGCCCACGUGCCAUGCGCAGCGCCCCAUUGCCUCUCGAAAGUGGCGGACGUAGUCGGGCUCGAACUCGCAGAAGCUAUUCACCACCACGCCGUAGCUCCGCCCCUCCGUCGCCGCAAUCUCGCCGAACAUUUCGCGGAAUGCAGGGGUCGCCACACUGAAGUCCUUCAUUUGGGAGCGGAGCAUCUCCACGGGGUGCGGAAGGCCACUGAGGACGACGACGGCGUCGCCACCGCCGAGGGGCAAUGAAGUCCUACAUAUAUUCAACGUACACUAAAUUCAUAUGUUAAAAUAAAAUAAGAAUCAAACAACAGAAUAUAUAGCAAAAUACAACUCUCUAAAUUAGUGAAUACAAAAUAAACACUUGAUACAAAAUCUAGCUGGUCAUUGAUCAGAAUCCUUUUAUUAUUUGAUUUAAAUCAAAGUUAAAUAUAUCUAAAUGUAAAAUAAAAUAAAAAAAAACUCAUAACAGUAUUUUAAUAUUUUAUUUUUAUUAUAUAUAUAGAAAAUUUAGCUGGAAUGCUAUUAGUAGCAAACAAGUUCUAUUGCCACCCAUUUAUUUUGACGAUGAAGCCUCCAAAUCGAAGAUUUAUACCGUUAAACAUGAUAUAUACCACUUAAAGUAUCUACUUUUUCAAUAUUAUCCUCUUGUUCAUUAAGUGAACAAAAAAAUAAAUGAUUGAAAAUAAAUAUUCUUUAAAAAAUGAUGAUAGAAAUCUUUGUAAUCAAUAUAAAGAGUACAGAUCUCGUUUUAAAUAGUAUUAUUGGCUUCGGCCCAGGUCGAAGUCAAUUACGAAAAUAAAAUAAAAUAUUAAUCUAUCUUUUACACUUUAGUUUUUACGUCUUUCAUUUUUAUCAAAAUAAAUAAUAGAAUUUGAUAAAUUUCAGUUCCACAUAUAAGACAUAUAAGCUAUCAAAUUCCCCGUUUCUUUUGCUUUGGAAGUCGUGUAUUUGGACCAGGUACGUUUAUAGUUGGUUCUUUGGUCCAUUAAUCCAUGGGCCCGCCCAUUUACGGUCCGGUUCGAAUCCGAUCCAAUCGAACCGUUCCCUACCGAUCCAACGGCUCACGUAUCAUCCGUACAUAUCCCCGCCGAUUCGCACCGAAACCCUAAUCUCCGCCUAUAAAUACUCGCCUUCUAGGGUUUUACUCCUCUCGAUCUCGUCCCUCUCGCACACCGUCGCCACUUGAGCGCGUCCUCUGCGGCCAUGGUACGAAGCCCACCUCCUCUCGAUCUCUUCCUCUUCUUCGUCUUCGUGGAUCCCUACUCUUUCGAUCUCUUCUUCUUCUUCUUCUUCUUCUUCGUAGCUUUUGAUGGGUUCCCUGCUCAAUGUAGGCGUCGGAGAAGAAGCUAUCGAACCCCAUGAGGGAGAUCAAGGUGCAGAAGCUCGUGCUCAACAUCUCCGUCGGAGAGAGCGGCGAUCGCCUCACCCGUGCGUCAAAGGUCGCGCCUUUUCUCUCGACACUUUCGUAGUUUCGUAGAACCUGUAUCCAGUGCAUUGUUUAGCUCACGAUUUGGUAGUUAUUAAACUCGUUUAGUGAUUUUUGGGGUGAUCGCUCACUUUGCUUUGAGUAAUUGAUUGAAAUGGUGAUACCUUGGUAAAACUAGAUCUGUUUCUGGUUACUGGAGUUAGUGUUGCUGAACUUUAGGAUUUCAUAGGGAUUCUGCGUUAGGGAGCUAAAAAAGUGAUCUUUCUUAAGUUCUUUUGCCAUGCAAACUCAGAAGUAUUUAUAUUUGUAACUUGACCAAAUAAUGAUUAGUUUCAGUAUUUUUGUAGGCAUAUUUGAUUUUAGGGUAUGUUGAGGGAAUGAAACAGUGUAUGAACUUUUGGGUUUCAAAUGGAGAAGUAAUAUGCCUCUUUUAUUGCCAUUCCCUUGACAUGAGUUUGCAACAUGGUAUAGUGUAAAGCCAUGGACAUCACCUAGAUAGCUUGUUUGAUAUCAUUUCACCUAUAUUCAUCAGGCUUUUGUUUUUGUCCUUUUUUUCAAUUGUUGGUUAAUAACUUGUCAAUUGGCGUAUGUUUAGGUAAUGUCAAGUUGUGCUUAUCCAUAUUUGUUAGCCUUUGAAAUUGUUGGUUACCUGCCAUCCCUUUUAGAGGCUUCCUUAAUUUUUAGUUUGACGUAAUUGCUUUGAGUUGGCAUUCUCGAAAAUUUAAUUGUAGCUCUUGCUUAUGCACGGCGAAAUAUUCUUGCCUUUGCCAGUGAGUCAAGAAGAGUAAGAGGUAUUUCAAAGCAUUUUUACACCAUUUUAAAGAAAGCUCAAUCCUAACUCAAUUGGUUGGGAUCACGCAGCAUGAAUGAGUCGAAUUUGUACACCAUUUCAUUAUCUGCACCCUGUUGGAUAAAGUCUUUGAGUAAUUAUUAACAAUUUAAUUAACAAUUUAAUUGAUGAUGAAUUGGCUGACGAUAUGAGGUCUGCAGAAAUCUUGAGCCACAGUUGUCAAAAAGAUUGGUGUAAAGGCACUUUCUGGACCAUUGUUGUAAUCCCAUUUGUUGGUUAUUUGAUAUGGAUGGUUGACUGACAAAGUUUACACGGCCAUAUGUCGCAUAGUUUUUUUUUUUUCUCCUGUCAGCAUUGUUAUUUCCAAAUAAGAUACGUUCCAAUUGUAUGUGCAAUGUGUAGUUUUGCCAUGUUAUCAUGACCUUUCGGCAUACUCUUAUUUUGUUUUUUACCCUGCCAAUAUUUUGCAGGUGUUGGAGCAAUUGAGCGGACAAACUCCUGUGUUUUCAAAAGGUCAUUUUGUGAAAAUUGUACAACUGUGUUCUCCUCUAUAUCUAGAAUGAUGCUGAAACCUCUUUCUUCCUUAAAAUUUCAACAGCCAGGUACACAGUUCGGUCUUUUGGUAUCCGGCGUAACGAAAAAAUUGCUUGCUAUGUCACGGUUCGUGGUGAGAAGGCCAUGCAACUUCUCGAGAGUGGCUUGAAAGUGAAAGAGUAUGAAUUGCUGAGGAGAAACUUCAGUGAUACCGGGUGUUUCGGCUUUGGUAUUCAGGAGCAUAUCGACCUUGGGAUUAAGUAAGAUGCUUAUUCAUCCAGUUGCAUUGUUAUAAUCCUAUAAUUGUUUGUAUAGGACAUAACUGAUCUUUUCCCUUUUCAUGUGUUUCCUUGUUUAACUUAACAGUUACCAAUAUUGAUAUAGAUAUACUGCCAGUAUUGUUGCAUGUUAAUUUUAAAUCUUUACAUAUUAUUUCGGUUUAUAUUUUUGUUUUGAUGAUUCAUGAUUAGAGCUGUAGUAGGGUCUGCUGUGAUGAGUACUGCUUUCUUCUGACACCUCUUGUAUGAGAAGGCUUCUUAAAGAAGCCCUUCGCUGAGCAGAGUAGCAACUCUCUGAGCUCCCUUUUGGUUGACAAAAUCCUUUUGCAUCAGUUGUUUAUGAUGUUACUGUGUAAUGAAUUUACCAGGCAUGUCUUGUUCUAAGAAACUGCCUAGUCCAUUAGCUUAAUAAAGUCAUUGACACUUACCAUAUAUUUUUGUUAUGGUCUAUUUAUAAUUCUAGUUCUUAUAUAUUUUCUGUCAAUUAGGUGGUGUUUGGUUUUGGAAAAAUAUUCCAGAGAACAGUUUUUUGGCGGGGAAAGUAUUUUCCAUAAGUUUGGUUCCUAGGAAAAGUAGUUUUCGGGGCAAAGUUUUUUUUCAGAUUUCAUGUAAUAUUAGUAUUUUUGUUUUCCUAAUUUUUUAUCCGAAGAACGGCAAUUGUAAAAAAGAGACUUUUCCAUGGAAAACAUUUUCCUGGAAAACAAUUUUCCACGUUUUUCUGAGAAACCCAACCCCCCCUUAGCUCUUGAUGUUUGUCAUGGAUAACAAUUAUACCCUUCCAUUGGUGUACUAUCUCCGAAAACAGCCAUGUUAUCCAUCAUUGUUAGAAUUCGCCUACACUGAGGAUUCAAAAUUUAACAAUGAUGUUGAUGUAUGCUAGUCGACGAAGACUAGUAAAUUGAUUAAAUGAUUACAAUUGAAGAGGAUUUUGAAAGCUACAUCGUGAAAAUUUAGUCUAUGGGGACCGACUUUGUUAUUAGCUUCUUUUCUUAAUUUAGUUGAAGCAAUCCUAUUGUUGCAAGAAGCUGACAGUCAUUUUCGUUCAGGUACGAUCCGUCUACUGGCAUAUACGGGAUGGACUUUUAUGUCGUCUUAGAACGCCCCGGAUACAGAGUGGGCCGCCGCCGCCGCUGCAAGUCCGGUGUCGGGAUCCAGCACAGGGUCACGAAGGAUGACGCGAUGAAGUGGUUCCAGGUGAAGUACGAGGGCGUGAUCCUCAACAAGUCCCAAGCAAUAGCCUCGUAGGUGCGUUCGGACAUGCCAUAUCACCUCAUCCGAAGGUAGCUCAGUUUCUUUCAGUCAAAUUCCGACUGCUGGAAAACGAGUGCUUUUUAGGUGAUUCUUUUUUUUUUUUUUUUUUUCUUUUCCUGUGUUUUAGAAAUGACUUGAAUUUUCAUGUGCUUCUCUUCGAAGAGCCGAGUUGCCUUUUCUUCUGCUUUCGGUAGUAAUUGGAGUACUGCGAUUUUGUUAAAAUGAAAAAUUCAUCUCAUUCCUUUCUCGCCUUUACGAUCUUGACGCCGAUUGUUGUGCUAUAUUAACUCGAAGUUCCUUGAUAUUAUCCUUCACAGUGAUGGUCUAAGGUUCGAUUUUAUUUGCCUCUACUAAAGUUUACCAUCUUAUGUUUUGGCAAAUCAUGCUUUUUGAAAAAGUAGAAGAGAAAAUAGUAGUAGGACUUUUCUUGUUAUUACUGUUGUGGAAGUGUUCUGUGUAUAUGCAUAGAAAAUCAACCUAGAAGUGAACCUGCUGUGUCAUUGUUAGGUUUAGGCAUAUUUAGUUUUGUGUGUGUGUGUAAAACCACUUUUCCCUUUUAAUAUUUUCUGGUGGAUAUUUCUCUUGUGGAAUUGUUUGUGCAACACUGCAACUUAAUAUAAGGUUAUUGCAUUAUUAUUAUUAUUAUUAUUAUUAUCAUAUCACUCCUUACUAUUGAGUUUGGGGGAAAAUUAAUUUUCUUGCGUUAUAUUUUUCUAUUGUCGUGGAAUUGAAAUUUUCUCAGUUUUGCACUUUUGUUUCACAAAAAGUGAAUGCCAUAAGCACUAGAGAUGUUGGAGGGGUUAAUAUUAUGUUAAUUUUUUUUCUUUUCUUUUUUUUUGGUAAUUGGCUUUUGUUUGGAAUGGAUCAAAGUCAAUUAUGGUGUUUUAGGGAGUUUAAAUUUCGAUCGAAAAUGAAGUUACGGUGAACUACACAACAGAAGUGGGCAUUUACAGUUGAAAGUUUGCGGUAACUUCAUUUUCGGUCCAAAAUUAAACUCUCCAAUCUAUUAUAUAGGGUAAUUAAUUUCGGCCCAAUUAAUUAUGAAAUGAAAGGCUAGAAAAAAAGUUAAUGAAAUAUUAAUUUAUUUUUUAUAAUUUUAGUUUUUAUGUUAUUUAAUUUUUUAUUAAAUAAUAGUAAAAUUAGAUAAAUCUUUAAUUUUAUACCUAUAUAAAUAAAUAAUGAAAAAAAAAAUUUAUUUUAAUUAUUUGAAUUAUUUGAAAGUCUAUUUCGUUUUGAACCUGUUCUUAUUCAAUGAAAUAAAUACUGCAUCACGAAAGAAAUUAUAUUUUAAAAUUGCGCUCAUGUUUAGCUACAGCUGAAGCACGUGCUUUAAACUUUUUCAUAGCUAGUGAUAGUGUUAACACUAUAAUUUAAAAAAAAAAAAAAACUUCAAAUACCACCUCUGUAGUUUCGUAUUUUUUUACUUUAGCAUUCUGUGAUUUAAAGUGAGGUUUCGCACUAUCUCAUUUUAGUACCUUGUGGUUAAGAAUGCAUUUCGUACUUUCUCAUUUUAGUAUCUUGUGGUUUAAAAUGCAUCAAUUUAGUACCAUGUGGUUUCAUUUUUCUGUUUUUAUCAGUUUCUUUGUUAAUAUUUUAUUAAAUUAUAUACAAAAAACUUCAGAUAUUUUAUUUAGGUUUAUUGAAUAUUUACUUUAUUAUCCUUUAUUUUUAACUUUGUAUUGAUUUUUUUUCCUCCGUUAAUAUUUUGUUAAAUUAUGUACAAAAAACUUCAAAUACCUUACUUAGAUUUAUCGAAUAUUCACUUUAGUACCCUUUAAUUUUAAUUCUGUCAUUGAUUUAACGAAACAAAAAGUUAAAUGAAUAAUAAAAAGAGAAAAACGAAACCAUAUGGUACUAACUUGAUACAAUUUCAACCAUAGGGUACUGAAAUAAGAAAGUGCGAAACCACAGGGGCAAACUUGAUACAUUUGAAGUUUACCCUAAAAAAAAAUAUACAUGUUUUCAUUCUAAUUUUAUUUUAUCGUAAUACCAAAUUACUCCUUAAUUAACUUCAAAAUAAAAAUGCUUUUACAGAUAGCUUCUAUCUAAAUAACAUUU
RNAcentral lists this long non-coding RNA (9128 nucleotides) under Ananas comosus (pineapple). RNAcentral describes it as "long non-coding RNA (ACOM_LNC009490)". The stretch from base 6027 to 6120 matches the Rfam family "Small nucleolar RNA snoR1". The record is from RNAcentral. Lineage: Eukaryota; Viridiplantae; Streptophyta; Magnoliopsida; Poales; Bromeliaceae.